This 483-nucleotide ribosomal RNA is filed under the name uncultured bacterium. RNAcentral describes it as "partial 16S ribosomal RNA". It matches the Rfam family "Bacterial small subunit ribosomal RNA", at positions 30 to 507 of the family's 1533-position model. The record is from RNAcentral.
UUGAACGCUGGCGGCAGGCCUCACACAUGCAAGUCGAGCGGAUGAAGGGAGCUUGCUCCUGGAUUCAGCGGCGGACGGGUGAGUAAUGCCUAGGAAUCUGCCUGGUAGUGGGGGAUAACGUCCGGAAACGGGCGCUAAUACCGCAUACGUCCUGAGGGAGAAAGUGGGGGAUCUUCGGACCUCACGCUAUCAGAUGAGCCUAGGUCGGAUUAGCUAGUUGGUGGGGUAAAGGCCUACCAAGGCGACGAUCCGUAACUGGUCUGAGAGGAUGAUCAGUCACACUGGAACUGAGACACGGUCCAGACUCCUACGGGAGGCAGCAGUGGGGAAUAUUGGACAAUGGGCGAAAGCCUGAUCCAGCCAUGCCGCGUGUGUGAAGAAGGUUUUCGGAUUGUAAAGCACUUUAAGUUGGGAGGAAGGGCAGUAAGUUAAUACCUUGCUGUUUUGACGUUACCAACAGAAUAAGCACCGGCUAACUUCGUG